ACUCCUACGGGAGGCAGCAGUGGGGAAUAUUGCACAAUGGGCGCAAGCCUGAUGCAGCCAUGCCGCGUGUGUGAAGAAGGCCUUCGGGUUGUAAAGCACUUUCAGUCGUGAGGAAGGUAGUGUAGUUAAUAGCUGCAUUAUUUGUACGUUAGCGACAGAAGAAGCACCGGCUAACUCCGUGCCAGCAGCCGCGGUAAGUACGGAGGGUGCGAGCGUUAAUCGGAAUUACUGGGCGUAAAGCGCAUGCAGGUGGUUUGUUAAGUCAGAUGUGAAAGCCCGGGGCUCAACCUCGGAAUAGCAUUUGAAACUGGCAGACUAGAGUACUGGUAGAGGGGGUAGAAUUUCAGGUGUAGCGGUGAAAUGCGUAGAGAUCUGAAGGAAUACCGGUGGCGAAGGCGGCCCCUGGACAGAUACUGACACUCAGAUGCGAAAGCGUGGGAGCAAACAGGAUUAGAU
Molecule: ribosomal RNA, 456 nt
Filed under: uncultured bacterium
Lineage: Bacteria
Description: bacterial SSU rRNA
Rfam family: Bacterial small subunit ribosomal RNA
Source: RNAcentral